Molecule: ribosomal RNA, 440 nt
Filed under: uncultured bacterium
Lineage: Bacteria
Description: partial 16S ribosomal RNA
Rfam family: Bacterial small subunit ribosomal RNA
Source: RNAcentral
CCUACGGGAGGCAGCAGUGGGGGAUAUUGCACAAUGGGGGGAACCCUGAUGCAGCGACGCCGCGUGGGUGAAGGAGCGUUUAGGCGCGUAAAGCCCUAUCGGCAGGGAAGAAGAUGACGGUACCUGACCAAGAAGCCCCGGCUAACUACGUGCCAGCAGCCGCGGUAAUACGUAGGGGGGAAGCGUUAUCCGGAUUGACUGGGUGGAAAGGGGGCGCAGACGGCAAUGCAAGCCAGGGGUGAAAGCCCGGGGCCCAACCCCGGGACUGCCCUUGGAACUGCAUGGCUGGAGUACAGGAGGGGCAGGCGGAAUUCCUGGUGUAGCGGUGAAAUGCGUAGAUAUUAGGAGGAACACCGGUGGCGAAGGCGGCCUGCUGGACUGUGACUGACGUUGAGGCCCGAAGGCGUGGGGAGCAAACAGGAUUAGAUACCCCAGUAGUC